This is a non-coding RNA of Ictidomys tridecemlineatus (thirteen-lined ground squirrel), 1497 nucleotides long. The record is from RefSeq and is a predicted model, not a curated record. NCBI's taxonomy places the organism in Eukaryota, Metazoa, Chordata, Mammalia, Rodentia, Sciuridae.
AUGAGAAACUAAAGUAAGAUCAAAGGAAUCCAAAUCCCUUAAUAACCCCCAACCCUGUAAGAGCUACACCAUCCUCCCAGAGUCACUUCUGCUCAGUGCCCACACUGGGCACUUAUACUCUCACUUUUUCUAAAAAAACUCCUGUCUGUACUCUGUGUGACUCAUUUGAAGUUCUUCCUGUGAGAUCACAAGAACGACUUGUUGUGGAUCCCGUGGUUACUUUGGCUCCAUGGAUGAUUUUCUUCUGCAAUAGCAGGAUGCCCCUCUGGUCAAACCCCACCAGAAGCAGAGGUGCAGGGGGCGACGGAUGUGGCCCCUCCAGGUGGAGAGGGGCGUGAAGCACAAACGGAAAGCCUUCACGUUCCUCUGGGCCAAGCUCUGACCUGGGCACAGGAUGCACAGAGAGAUCUGAAGCGCUCAGUGACAUGAAAGGGACCGGAGUGACACAUGCGGUAGGACUACAGCUGUGACAGAGGGAAAAGCCAAUCGCUUGGGCUUUCUCAUGAUGUGGACCGUGGAACAGGGAGGAGAGGUGAGGUGGUGGGGGGAAUGCUUGGCUGCUCAUCCAAGUACGCCCUCCCACUGUGGUGCUCCUACAACAGCCUAACGUUGGACAGGUGGACGUGAGAGUUUUCAGAGUAGAAGAAUAAUAACAAUGACACAAGCUCACGAGCUGUGGAGAUCACAUCAGACGCUGGAUGAAGAUGUCUCCGCACAGCGCUUGGCACCCUGCAGCCCAGCUGACUGCCAGCCUUAAGUGGCAGCCAUGGCCAGUGGAGCCUUCAGAUGCCUGAAACCCAGCUUCCACCUGAUUAUAAUCACAAGAACGAUCCCAAGUGAGAACUGACCUGUUGAGCCUUUUCCAAAUUCCUGAACAAUGAAAUGCAAGUGAAUCAGGUUGGUUUGUGCUGCUAAGUUUUGGAAUAAAGGUUUACAACUGAAACAGCUCCUUAAUCUUCCCAUGGCUUUCAUGUGGGACAUUCACUUCGCAGGCUUGGAAUUUGUUCAUGUGAUGUAUUUUGACUACUGAGGUGUGGGCAGAUGCAAUGUAUCCUACGUCCAACCAAAACUUUCCACUGUGCUCACGUGCUUGGCCAGUCCUCUUGGGCUCCUUGGUUAUAGGAAGAUCAUCCUCCAGCUAAUGGCUCCUUUCACCCCAACGUGAGAGACAGUGGAAAAGACAUGAACUUAGCCUGCAGCCUGAAGUAGACCGGUCAACCUGAAGUCCUUCGAAUGAGAAAUAAACCCUUAUUGGGGUGGUGAAACUGAAGCAUAGAAAGACCAAAUGAACUGUUCAGGUCAUAGACAGAGUCUGCACUGGAACUCAGGAAGUGACCUUUAACCAUUGACAGAAAAGCACACACACUGAUGGGUUGCUCAGGGGACCAACUGUGUUUCCAGCAUCCCUACUCAGCCCCUGGCCUGGUUCCUGGAGGAGCCAAGGACACCUUAUGAAAUAAACAGUGAAAGCCUGUUUUCCAGGGUCUAAAGCUUCAA